This 75-nucleotide transfer RNA is filed under the name Parcubacteria group bacterium 21-58-10. RNAcentral's name for it is "tRNA-Arg". It matches the Rfam family "tRNA". Rfam says of the family: Transfer RNA (tRNA) molecules are approximately 80 nucleotides in length. Their secondary structure includes four short double-helical elements and three loops (D, anti-codon, and T loops). RNAcentral also lists the same sequence under 1 other name. The record is from RNAcentral.
GCUCUCGUCGUUCAACGGAUAGGACAGCUCCCUCCGAAGGAGCAGAUGACGGUUCGAUUCCGUCCGAGAGCACAA